AGUCCCGCGGUCCCGCCCGCUGUGGGGAGGGCGGCUCGGGGCGACCCAGCGUGGCCGGCCACCUGCGACAGGUGGCCGCACGUCUCGGGGAGACCUGGGCCUCGGAAGCGCGGACGGAGCGAAGGCGCCACGGAAACCCAUUAGUCUUCCUCGGCGGUGGUCGAAACUUGCUGGCGGUUUCUUGGUCACCUUUCCCGUUUCCCCUUUCAAAAGGGAUGAAGAGGAAGGUUAUCAAGGCUUAGGGCCGGAGCACCCACGGUAGUCACCAAGUGUGGAGUCCAGGGAACAGUUUGUCCUGAAGGGAGGUUCAAGGAGACUGGAGAAUGAAACAGCAGGUGCAUUCUGGGAUGCUUUUAUCCUAAUAAAACUCCUCCAAAGACUUCGCUGUUUUCCCUCUGCUCGAUAGUCAGGAUCUGGUUUCAGACCUGCCACCCCAUUCUCUCAGCAACACCUCCCUGCUUGGUGCUUGUCCCCAGCUGAACUCCAUCCAUUUCUAUCAUGUUUUAGCCUGUCGGAAGUCGAUCUCUGUGACCAAGCCUAUGUGCUUACUGACUGCUGUAGUUUGGAUUGUGUUCCCCAAAAGAUAUGUUGAAAUCUUGAACCCAGUACCUUAUUGGAGAGAGGGUCUUUGCAGAUGUAAUUGAGUUAAGAUGAGGUCAUCAGGGCAGGUCCUAACCCAAUAUGAUUGAUGUCUUUAUAAGAAGAAAAGACAGAGACACAGAGGGAGAAGACGGCCAUGUGAUGACAGAGACCAAGGUUGGAAUGAUGCAUCUACCAGCCAAGGAACACCAAGGAUUGUCAGCAAACACCAGAAGCUAGAAGAAACGAGGAAGGAUCCCCUACAGGUUUCAGAGGGCAUAUGGCCCUACCAACAUCU
Herpailurus yagouaroundi (jaguarundi) is the source of this 877-nucleotide long non-coding RNA. RefSeq lists it as uncharacterized. Lineage: Eukaryota; Metazoa; Chordata; Mammalia; Carnivora; Felidae. The record is from RefSeq and is a predicted model, not a curated record. The transcript has 4 exons.